This 200-nucleotide unclassified non-coding RNA is filed under the name Glomus sp. Its description in RNAcentral is "partial contains 5.8S ribosomal RNA and internal transcribed spacer 2". The stretch from base 1 to 71 matches the Rfam family "5.8S ribosomal RNA", at positions 84 to 154 of the family's 154-position model. Lineage: Eukaryota; Fungi; Glomeromycota; Glomeromycetes; Glomerales; Glomeraceae. The record is from RNAcentral.
GUGAAUCAUCGAAUCUUUGAACGCAAAUUGCACUUUCUGGUAUUCCGGAAAGUAUGCCUGUUUGAGGGUCAUUAAAAUCAAAAUCGGUGUUUUUGCUGCUUUUAGUUGUUAUGCCUCAAGAUUGAGUUGUCUUACAUUCGGUUACGUAACUUCAACUUUUCGAUGAUUUUCGAACGUAUUUAGAUUUCUUACGUACGUUU